This 505-nucleotide ribosomal RNA is filed under the name uncultured bacterium. RNAcentral's name for it is "partial 16S ribosomal RNA". It matches the Rfam family "Bacterial small subunit ribosomal RNA", at positions 28 to 507 of the family's 1533-position model. The record is from RNAcentral.
GACGAACGCUGGCGGCGUGCCUAAUACAUGCAAGUAGAACGCACAGUUUAUACCGUAGCUUGCUACACCAUAGACUGUGAGUUGCGAACGGGUGAGUAACGCGUAGGUAACCUGCCUGGUAGCGGGGGAUAACUAUUGGAAACGAUAGCUAAUACCGCAUAAUAUUAAUUAUUGCAUGAUAAUUAAUUGAAAGGUGCAAUUGCACCACUACCAGAUGGACCUGCGUUGUAUUAGCUAGUAGGUGAGGUAACGGCUCACCUAGGCGACGAUACAUAGCCGACCUGAGAGGGUGAUCGGCCGCACUGGGACUGAGACACGGCCCAGACUCCUACGGGAGGCAGCAGUAGGGAAUCUUCGGCAAUGGACGAAAGUCUGACCGAGCAACGCCGCGUGAGUGAAGAAGGUUUUCGGAUCGUAAAGCUCUGUUGUAAGAGAAGAACGGGUGUGAGAGUGGAAAGUUCACACUGUGACGGUAUCUUACCAGAAAGGGACGGCUAACUACGCG